This 603-nucleotide ribosomal RNA is filed under the name uncultured Bacillus sp. RNAcentral describes it as "bacterial SSU rRNA". It matches the Rfam family "Bacterial small subunit ribosomal RNA", at positions 774 to 1376 of the family's 1533-position model. Lineage: Bacteria; Bacillati; Bacillota; Bacilli; Caryophanales; Bacillaceae. The record is from RNAcentral.
AGGAUUAGAUACCCUGGUAGUCCACGCCGUAAACGAUGAGUGCUAAGUGUUAGAGGGUUUCCGCCCUUUAGUGCUGCAGCAAACGCAUUAAGCACUCCGCCUGGGGAGUACGGCCGCAAGGCUGAAACUCAAAGGAAUUGACGGGGGCCCGCACAAGCGGUGGAGCAUGUGGUUUAAUUCGAAGCAACGCGAAGAACCUUACCAGGUCUUGACAUCUCCUGACAACCCUAGAGAUAGGGCGUUCCCCUUCGGGGGACAGGAUGACAGGUGGUGCAUGGUUGUCGUCAGCUCGUGUCGUGAGAUGUUGGGUUAAGUCCCGCAACGAGCGCAACCCUUGAUCUUAGUUGCCAGCAUUCAGUUGGGCACUCUAAGGUGACUGCCGGUGACAAACCGGAGGAAGGUGGGGAUGACGUCAAAUCAUCAUGCCCCUUAUGACCUGGGCUACACACGUGCUACAAUGGAUGGUACAAAGGGCUGCGAGACCGCGAGGUUAAGCGAAUCCCAUAAAACCAUUCUCAGUUCGGAUUGCAGGCUGCAACUCGCCUGCAUGAAGCCGGAAUCGCUAGUAAUCGCGGAUCAGCAUGCCGCGGUGAUACGUUCCCG